GUGAACGCUGGCGGUAGGCCUAACACAUGCAAGUCGAACGGCAGCACAGUAAGAGCUUGCUCUUACGGGUGGCGAGUGGCGGACGGGUGAGGAAUACAUCGGAAUCUACUUUUUCGUGGGGGAUAACGUAGGGAAACUUACGCUAAUACCGCAUACGACCUACGGGUGAAAGCAGGGGAUCUUCGGACCUUGCGCGAUUGAAUGAGCCGAUGUCGGAUUAGCUAGUUGGCGGGGUAAAGGCCACCAAGGCGACGAUCCGUAGCUGGUCUGAGAGGAUGAUCAGCCACACUGGAACUGAGACACGGUCCAGACUCCUACGGGAGGCAGCAGUGGGGAAUAUUGGACAAUGGGCGCAAGCCUGAUCCAGCCAUACCGCGUGGGUGAAGAAGGCCUUCGGGUUGUAAAGCCCUUUUGUUGGGAAAGAAAAGCAGCAGGUUAAUACCCCGCUGUUCUGACGGUACCCAAAGAAUAAGCACCGGCUAACUUCGUG
RNAcentral lists this ribosomal RNA (490 nucleotides) under uncultured bacterium. RNAcentral's name for it is "partial 16S ribosomal RNA". It matches the Rfam family "Bacterial small subunit ribosomal RNA", at positions 29 to 507 of the family's 1533-position model. The record is from RNAcentral.